RNAcentral lists this ribosomal RNA (5930 nucleotides) under Triticum aestivum (bread wheat). Its description in RNAcentral is "partial small subunit ribosomal RNA". Lineage: Eukaryota; Viridiplantae; Streptophyta; Magnoliopsida; Poales; Poaceae. The record is from RNAcentral.
GAACCGGGGAGUUUUUUUUUAGAGUAAGAGUUUUUUUGUUGUUGUUUAGAGAGAGCCGAGGAGGUGAGCAGCCGCGCGCAGUGGUAGAGGUAGGGGGCGGCUGGGGGCGGCUGGUGGGCUGACAGAGAGGCAGGUAGCGCCACCGCGGCCUCGGCCACUUCGUCUUACCUGCUGGUUCCUUAGGGAAGGGUGGGGAGCGCGCAGGUAGAGGCCGGACGAGGCUAAGGAUAGGGGGGAGAGGGAGGGUGCGCCGCGGCUCAGUCGGCUGGUGGUUGGGGAGGGCUCCAUCCAGUCCUUCCAUGGAGUGGGGCUUGGGCUUCCAUGUGCGUGCGUGACUGCAGAGAAGGCGAGCCUCGAAACGCAGUGUAUGAGUGUACCACCGCGGACCGCGCCACGCGUGUACCUUCUACGUCUAACGUCUCUAUGCACGCAUGAAGACAUAGGCGCGCGCUAGUUCAGCACGUUGGCGUCAACGUUUCGUACGGUCAACCUAAGAUCGCUAAGGGCGCAUGUUCAAACCCCACAGCCAAGUGGUGUGGGCUGCGUUUCCUAAGGGAAUGUAACCCUAAGACAAAGUAUAAAACGACACUACUACGUGACAGGGAUCUAAAACCCAAGAUCGCCAAGGGCACAUAUUGGAACCGCACAGUCAAGCUCCUUUGACACGAUUAAUCGUACGCUAUUAGUCCCCCAAGAAGAAUUAUGAUCGGUGUCACGAAAAUAAAAUCAGUAAGCUCUCAUCAGUACCGUCCUGUUCACGUCUGUCUGACAUGACCAGUACUCUAAGACAAGUAUACACCACCACUACGUCAUCCUGAUUUUAAUAGAGACUUGUGCUCAGCUCGCAACCCGACAUCGCCAGAGGUACAAAUUCUCAACUUCCUCUGUUACGAUUAAUCGUGUACUAUCAGUACCUGAGCAUUAAAACGUAAGGCAGCCAAAAUUAAGACAAUCGCAAAACAAAACGAUUAUCACCACCCCUUCCUUAGCUUCCGAAGCUUGUGCUCGUACAUAAAACGAAGCUCAUUACUACAGUUAAAAUAAGCUAAGUUUGCGAAACCAAUCGUUUUCGUCUCCCUCAUUAAUAAAGAAAUGUCUCCCUCAUUAACAGUCGUUUUGGUCCCAUUCGAAACGAGGCCCUACCACGGAUGUACUGCGAGGAAGGGAUUAUAAAAAAGGACCAGACUCAGCACUCAGUCUUCCAGGUGCAAUUGACUUCGCUUAAUCUAAAUAGACCUUAUAGAACUGAAACCUCUUAUUGAGGCUGGAAUCGAACGGUUCGAACAAAUCGUCCUUAAAUGGGGUGAACGUGGUUGAACGGUCAUGAAAUCAAAAGAUAUCAAUCCGUCGAACCUAAUACGUCCACUACCACUGUUCAAAGGUGUCAUGAUCACCGACAAUUGAAGGGUAAAGUUUCAAGUUACAUGAAGGCUAAAGUUAUUAUCCUGAUUUUAAUAGAGAAUGUACAGAGAUUAUACCCCAAGAUCUGAAGAUCACCAGAGGUACAAAUUCUCAACCUCCUCUGGUACGAACAAUCAUGUACUAUCAGUACCUGAAAAUUAAUACAUAAGGCGGCCAAUGUUAAAAGAGAGUCGUAAAACAAAGAGAUUAUACCCCUUCCUAACCUUAUGCUCGUAAAUAUAACAAAACUAUUUACUGUAGUUUAAAUAAGCUAAGUUUGUAGAUUAACAAUCGUUUUGGUCCCAAUUCGGAAGUACUGUACAGAGGGGAUUAUAAUAAGCACCAGACCCACCACUCAGUAUCACAGGUAUAAUUGUCCUUGCUUAGUAUAAAUAACAAGUGAUUUUUAUUAGUCUAAAUAGAUUUAGAAAAACUGACCUCUUAUCGAGGUUGGAAUCGAACGGUUCGAACAAAUUGUCCUUAGAUAGCACGUCGUUGAACGGUCAUGAAUACAAAAGAUAUCGAUCCGUGGAAUCUAAUACGUCGACUACCACUGUCUAAACAUGUCAUGAUCACCGACAAUGGAAGAUUAAAGUUUCAAGUUACUAAAGGGUAUUAACAACUUUAAAGGCCGGCGGAUCGAUCCGAGUAUAAAGUCAUUACAGAGUCAGUAGACUUUCUCUUUAGUCAACUGGUACGUAACGGCGGGAACCUGACAUUAUAUAACGAAUGAGAUUGGACUUAAAUUGGUAUGCGUUCAGAUACACCAUCCUACGUUUGUUAUAUAACUGGAGUCAACUGUCACUUAAAAAUGAAAUUACAUGUGUCCGGAGCUCAACAUCAAAUGGAUCUCCUCUCUAGCCAACAGAAGAUAGCACUGGCACCCUAAGAUAGAACUCUCAUUCCGUAUAACGUCUCCAAAUAAAAACUUGACGUACUCCAUACGGUAAGUACCCUGGUACGACAUUAUAUAGACUGGGGAACUCUUUAAACAAAACCGACCGUCAAGAAUCACUCGACUAUCCGAUCGGUUGAUCAUUCACUACGUAGUUUGGUCUUUAAUCGUACAGGAGAUCACAAACGAUUAGAGUUUAAAAAGCAAAUGGAACACCCUUCUGUUUAAAGAACAUGAUCUUAAUUCAAAGCAAGAAGUCUCCUCCUGUCGCGUGUCGGUGUGUCCGUUUGGUGCAAUAAGAUCGUACGAACAGAUUAGUUACCGUAGCCUUGGAAGACGGAGGGAGAGCAGGUCUAUUUGGUUCGUAUAUGACAUGUCACGAUCACGCAGAAGCAAACAUGAAGGGAAACCGUAAGUACAAUUCAUGCACAUGGCACAUAGAAUACGCCCUAAUCCCUUGUAUGGCUAUCUGUUUCCUACUACGAAAUCCACUGAACGAUGGAUCGACCCCUAAUCCUCUGGUGGUUCGACUACGAUGUCUUGCCUUUCGUUGUCAAACAAAACGACGAGAACAAAAGUCGUUAACGACACUCCCCGAGGAGAGUUGGUGGCUUGGGGUAUCCGGAAGAUAACCACCUUAAGAAUCACUAGAAACAGGUGACAAGAAGGAAGGGUAUAAAAACUUCUACAAUCCGGUGCAACGCAGUCACUUUACGGCUGUUCACAGCAAACUCUUAGAGAGAUAAUAGUCGAAUUUGGGAGACUGGAGGUGGUGAACAAAGUUUGGAAAUAAGAAUAAGGGUGACUUAUCAAGUUCUCGUUUUCACAAUAUAUAUAAAUCCGUUUACGACUAAGGUAGUUACAUAAUCGUAUAUUAUGACUUAUAAACUAAGUACAACAGAUUAAUUAUCAAAGAAAGGAACAGGUCGUCGUCACGAAUGGUUGAUACUAAUACUACUAUUAAUCCAUAGGUGGACGGCAGGAAUUGAGUAAACUACAGUCACUCGUACAAAGGACUCGUACGACCCGAGGGCGCAGCAACUGUUUUACCCGGUAUGUUAGUAAGGACAAUCAGAGUUGAGAGUUCCUUAAUUAAACUCGGGAGAUACUGCUUUAGAACAUCCCACACCACCCCCGUAUACUAUGAAUUACAGGCCAACACUUCCGUCAACAUGACGACCAACACUACUUUUCAUGGUACGACGGUUCUAGGAAAAAUUUCACUAAAGAAGAAAAUGUAGUAUAACAGAUGUGAGAAUGUCAACAUGAAACCGUAGAAAAAGAAAAAGACCAGCUUGUGUUGUUAUAAGGUACUGGUUCAUUUAAGUGUUACAAUGAGAACUGUUACACGUCUAAAACGGUCGAAACGAACAGGACAUUAUUUCUGUAGAGUCGUAUCACGUCCUUUUUUAUAAAUCAAUGGAGUCACCUUAGUAGGUCUGAGAGAGGUCUCCUUUUUUUUUGAAUAUGUUACGACUUUCGAGAGGCCUUGUGUGGUAAACACGUGAACAUUAGACUUCAAGACUUUAUCAGUCACUUUUCGACAUGUACCAACCUGAGGUAGGUCUAAAAGGACGACAACCAUCAAAGACCUUUGCUAGUAAAACCUUAACGGUCCGCCCUUCCGUCCUCUUUGUAAGUCUAGUCAUCGUUCUCCGUCGGACCUUGGUCCUUUAGACACACCGGAUGCGAACACAAAAAACGAUCACAACCUCCUACUGGACUUCUUCGACUCCACGAGGUCGGUGGCUAGGAGCGGUAGUAGCUGGUAAUAGCUCUUCCGCCUCCACGUUGUCUUUCGUUUGACUCUUUUCCAGGAGGCCGAGUUCCCCGAGUUCCAUCUUUGUUCAAUGUUUUUCCUUUAAAAUAGAACCGUACCUCCAAGACUAAAGUCGACACCGCCCACUAGAACAGUCGGCCAAGUAGAGAAAGGACCACGUUUCAAUACCGUGAGUUUGUACACUCCUCCUCCUAGCAUCUUCCGACCUUGCGUAGAACGAUUCCUACGUGUACCAACAACUCCUUCGUCUCCCCGCCGUGUAGUGUUUAGCUCCCUACAAGGACGUCGACUUCUGUGAGUAGCUCCCACACGUAGAGCCCAUGAUGUACGAACUGUUCGAGUUCAAGGUUGGGGAACCUCUUCUCUCGCAACUUCUACUACUCCACUCAGUGACCUCGGUUAGAGAACGGCAAAGAUGAAAACUGCGGCGGUUCGCGGAAGCAAAACGACAACGACGAAGAUACUACUUCUUGUGUGGUUAUUGUAAAUCAUGGUCCUCGUGUUGUUUCAACUUUUCACAAGAACGUUCGAAUCUCCGAUGCUGACGUCUAUACUCUCUCAAGCAACACGAGGAGCCGUCGACGGGAGCGGAAGGAGCGGUCGGUAUGACAUACGUGGAUAUGUACCUAUUCACGUACAAACCAGCGGUGCAACUCUUUCUCGUUGAGUAGUUGAAGAACGAUACACUACUGUGAGCAGUGCUAACGCGUGUAUAAUCGUAGGACGGCUAGUAGCCGGGUGUGUCUUAACCCUUCUUUUGAGACCACGUUGUACGAACGUUCCUACUCUCCCACACGUUAGCAAAGAGGGUGUACAAAAAGAAGUUUCCUCUACUAGAUGCCUUGCUUCAUAAACGUAACUUGUCGGUCCGUCGGAGUCCCUUCAUGAACAAACAACACCUAAAGUAGAAGCUACACCUACUCCGUCGUACCUGUUUGAAGGUCAGUAUAAACGUCUUCAACGGUCCACGACCCUAGUUUUAACAUCACUGUCCGUCUCGUCUCGUUCAACGUUUGAACCCCUGACGAGUUGGCUAGUCCGACUCCUCAGACAGAGUUCUUCUCAUGACCAUGAUGAAGUUCCGUGAGCGGAAACCUUCGUGCUUAGGACUACUCGUGGGCUUUGACCGUAGAAACCCGUACGUUGAUCGCCGCGAGGAUGUCCCUAGUAAAGAACCACGUUUGUAUGAGCCCCUCGAUGAUUCUCGAUUAGGUUCGUGUCUUAAGACCGCGCCUCAUAAUAGCUCGUAUUCUCCUUAUCAAGCACUCGUGAACAACAGGAAGCCGUGCGUGGGCCUCCUGGAAGAACCAUCUUUAAAAGGACACUUAAAGCCGUCACGCCGGAACCACCCACCAGUCCGAGUCCCUAUGGACCACAUACUAGAAUCCCUCCGACCGGGACGAGUUUCACUCGACGGUUUUGACUGCAGCGUUCUUGAUGACUGUCCGGCACUAUAUGGACAACUUCUGUUCAAACUCCACGAUCAUACCUCUAGAGCCUAGGGCGGAAUGACGCUGAUGCAGCAAUGGAUGCUUUUUGUCUUCUAAGUACACCGUCGCUCUUUUGCAGUCGCGUUUACAAUUAGACCGUUUGUCUUCACGUGUUUCCUCAACCUAGGGGAAGGAACAUCAAAUCAUUUAAUAAUAAGAGACAAAAAAACUCUUGGAUAAUAAGGAAAAAGAUAUGACUAUAUGAUACACAUAUACACGUGAAAAAUCUUCCCCAUACACUUCACGUCACUCAAUGACUACGAUCGGACUCAACACACAUGCAUUAACUUCGGAGCACAUUCCUUUGACGAAAUUUGAACACUGAUGACACAGACACACACACUGGUAAAGUUACAUUGAGGGG